RNAcentral lists this ribosomal RNA (436 nucleotides) under Bacillus infantis. RNAcentral describes it as "partial 23S ribosomal RNA". It matches the Rfam family "Bacterial large subunit ribosomal RNA", at positions 1 to 427 of the family's 2925-position model. Lineage: Bacteria; Bacillati; Bacillota; Bacilli; Caryophanales; Bacillaceae. The record is from RNAcentral.
UUAGGUUAAGUUAGAAAGGGCGCACGGUGGAUGCCUUGGCACUAGGAGCCGAUGAAGGACGGUACUAACACCGAUAUGCUUCGGGGAGCUGUAAGUAAGCUUUGAUCCGGAGAUUUCCGAAUGGGGAAACCCUCCAUCCGUAAUGGGAUGGAACCCUUGCCUGAAUACAUAGGGCAUUGGAGGCAGACCCGGGGAACUGAAACAUCUAAGUACCCGGAGGAAGAGAAAGCAAACGCGAUUCCCUGAGUAGCGGCGAGCGAAACGGGAUUAGCCCAAACCAGGAGGCUUGCCUCCUGGGGUUGUAGGACACUCUACACGGAGUUACAAAGGAACGGAGUAAAUGAACAGGCAUGGAAAGGCCGGCCAUAGAGGGUAACAGCCCCGUAGUUGAAACUUCGUUCCCUCCAGAGUGGAUCCUGAGUACGGCGGGACACGA